RNAcentral lists this ribosomal RNA (592 nucleotides) under Vermamoeba vermiformis. RNAcentral describes it as "SSU rRNA". It matches the Rfam family "Eukaryotic small subunit ribosomal RNA", at positions 722 to 1243 of the family's 1831-position model. The record is from RNAcentral. Lineage: Eukaryota; Tubulinea; Echinamoebida; Vermamoebidae.
CUUUAGCAGUCCGCCCCUUCGGGGAGCGGGUUGCUGGCCUCCUAUGUUCCUAACGGUCCUCAUCCGCGAGGGUGGGGAAUCAACCGCUAGGAUCGUUUACUUUGAGGAAAUUAGAGUGUUCAAAGCAGGCGUAACUCGCCUCCGAAUACGUUAGCAUGGGAUAAUGGAAUACGACUUCGGUCUUGUUUCGUUGGUUUCGCUUGGCUGAAGUAAUGAUUGAUAGGGACAGUUGGGGGCAUUAGUAUUUAGUUGUCAGAGGUGAAAUUCUAGGAUUUACUAAAGACUGACCAAUGCGAAAGCAUUUGCCAAGGAUGUUUUCAUUAAUCAAGAACGAAAGUAGGGGGAUCGAAGACGAUCAGAUACCGUCGUAGUCUCUACCGUAAACUAUGCCGACCAGGGAUCCGGAGAGUUUGCAUGGAUGACUCCCCGGGCACCUUGUGAGAAAUCAUAAGUGUUUGGGUUUUGGGGGGAGUAUGGUCGCAAGGCUGAAACUUAAAGGAAUUGACGGAAGGGCACCACCAGGAGUGGAACCUGCGGCUUAAUUUGACUCAUCACGGGGAAACUUACGAGGUCAGGACACUGUGAGGAUUGA